GCGGAUGUGGCGGAAUUGGUAGACGCGCUAGUUUCAGGUACUAGUGAGAGCAAUCUUGUGGGAGUUCAAGUCUCCCCAUCCGCA
Molecule: transfer RNA, 84 nt
Filed under: Prochlorococcus sp. MIT 0701
Lineage: Bacteria; Bacillati; Cyanobacteriota; Cyanophyceae; Synechococcales; Prochlorococcaceae
Also listed under: 2 other names
Description: tRNA-Leu
Rfam family: tRNA
About the family: Transfer RNA (tRNA) molecules are approximately 80 nucleotides in length.
Source: RNAcentral